UAGGGAAUCUUCGGCAAUGGACGAAAGUCUGACCGAGCAACGCCGCGUGAGUGAAGAAGGUUUUCGGAUCGUAAAACUCUGUUGUUAGAGAAGAACAAGGACGUUAGUAACUGAACGUCCCCUGACGGUAUCUAACCAGAAAGCCACGGCUAACUACGUGCCAGCAGCCGCGGUAAUACGUAGGUGGCAAGCGUUGUCCGGAUUUAUUGGGCGUAAAGCGAGCGCAGGCGGUUACUUAAGUCUGAUGUGAAAGCCCCCGGCUCAACCGGGGAGGGUCAUUGGAAACUGGGGGACUUGAGUGCGGAAGAGGAGAGUGGAAUUCCAUGUGUGGCGGUGAAAUGCGUAGAUAUAUGGAGGAACACCGGUGGCGAAGGCGGCUCUCUGGUCUGUAACUGGCGCUGAGGCUCGAAAGCGGAGGGAGCAAACAGG
This 429-nucleotide ribosomal RNA is filed under the name Gemmatimonadota bacterium. Its description in RNAcentral is "Gemmatimonadetes bacterium partial 16S ribosomal RNA". It matches the Rfam family "Bacterial small subunit ribosomal RNA", at positions 355 to 776 of the family's 1533-position model. The record is from RNAcentral. Lineage: Bacteria; Pseudomonadati; Gemmatimonadota.